CUGGGCGGACGUCGACGACGAUCCCGUUCAGUCUCGACAUAGCUACAUCGUCCAUGCUGAAGUGAACGCAAUACUC
This 76-nucleotide transfer RNA is filed under the name Methylibium petroleiphilum PM1. RNAcentral's name for it is "tRNA-Ala". Lineage: Bacteria; Pseudomonadati; Pseudomonadota; Betaproteobacteria; Burkholderiales; Sphaerotilaceae. The record is from RNAcentral.